UUGUGGAGGAGGACGCCGAAGGUGGGGCUAAUGACUGGGGUGAAGUCGUAACAAGGUAGCCGUACCGGAAGGUGCGGCUGGAUCACCUCCUAACAGGGAGACAACAAAAUGUUUAAUAUUAUUAUUUUGUCACCUUAGGUCGAUCGGUAUCUCACGUUCUUAAUUAAUUAAGAAUUUCAUUUCCUAAGUUUUUCUAGGUCACACCCAUUAUUUUUCCUGGGCCAUUAGCUCAGGUGGUUAGAGCGCACCCCUGAUAAGGGUGAGGCCCCUGGUUCAAGUCCAGGAUGGCCCAUAUCUCUAUGUUGGGGGUAUAGCUCAGUUGGUAGAGCGCCUGCUUUGCAAGCAGGAUGUCAGCGGUUCGAGUCCGCUUACCUCCACUGAUUACCACCUCUUCCAUAUCUUUAGAAAGGAAAUGUUUUGAGUUGUGAUCAAAUUCUGAACGAAUCUAGCUUCCUAAUGAAAGCAUUAAGAUGCUGGACUCAUUGAAUUUAUUUCAUUGUUUUCAGAGAACCUUGACAACUGCAUAGAUUAUUUUUAAGGACAAUAAGCAUCUUUAAUGAUGCAGAUUUUUUAUUUGUGCGAAUGCAUUAAUAACAAUUCUAUUAAGCUGAUGCUUCAAUUUUGAAGUUAUUGGUCAAGCUACAA
This 645-nucleotide unclassified non-coding RNA is filed under the name uncultured Prochlorococcus sp. Its description in RNAcentral is "partial 16S-23S ribosomal RNA intergenic spacer; may also contain 16S ribosomal RNA and 23S ribosomal RNA". The stretch from base 305 to 377 matches the Rfam family "tRNA". Lineage: Bacteria; Bacillati; Cyanobacteriota; Cyanophyceae; Synechococcales; Prochlorococcaceae. The record is from RNAcentral.